CACCGCCCGUCACACCAUGAGAGUCGUCUACACCUGAAAUCACUUUAGCUAACCUGAAAAGGAGGCGGGUGCUGACGGUGUGGGGGAUGAUUGGGGUG
Molecule: ribosomal RNA, 98 nt
Filed under: uncultured bacterium
Lineage: Bacteria
Description: partial 16S ribosomal RNA
Source: RNAcentral